GAUGAACGCUGGCGGCGUGCUUAACACAUGCAAGUCGAACGAGAAGUGAAGACGGAAACCUUCGGGCGGAAGGCUUUAUUUCGAGUGGCGGACGGGUGAGUAACGCGUGGGUAACCUGCCUCAUACAGGGGGAUAACAGUUGGAAACGACUGUUAAUACCGCAUAAGACCACAGCACCGCAUGGUGCGGGGGUAAAAACUCCGGUGGUAUGAGAUGGACCCGCGUUCGAUUAGCCAGUUGGCGGGGUAACGGCCCACCAAAGCGACGAUCGAUAGCCGAUCUGAGAGGAUGACCGGCCACAUUGGGACUGGGACAAGGCCCAAACUCCUACGGGAGGCAGCAGUGGGGAAUAUUGCACAAUGGGGGAAACCCUGAUGCAGCGACGCCGCGUGAGUGAAGAAGUAUUUCGGUAUGUAAAGCUCUAUCAGCAGGGAAGAAAAUGACGGUACCUGAGUAAGAAGCCCCGGCUAACUACGU
Molecule: ribosomal RNA, 477 nt
Filed under: uncultured bacterium
Lineage: Bacteria
Description: partial 16S ribosomal RNA
Rfam family: Bacterial small subunit ribosomal RNA
Source: RNAcentral